UACAGAGGGGGCAAGCGUUGUUCGGAAUUACUGGGCGUAAAGGGCGCGUAGGCGGCCUUCUAAGUCGAACGUGAAAUCCCCGGGCUCAACCCGGGAACUGCGUCCGAUACUGGAAGGCUUGAAUCCGGGAGAGGGAUGCGGAAUUCCAGGUGUAGCGGUGAAAUGCUUAGAUAUCGUCAAGAACACCGAUAGUGAAGACAGCUUACUAGACUUCAACUGACGCUGAGGCACGAAAGUGUGGGGAUCAAACAGG
Molecule: ribosomal RNA, 253 nt
Filed under: uncultured bacterium
Lineage: Bacteria
Description: partial 16S ribosomal RNA
Rfam family: Bacterial small subunit ribosomal RNA
Source: RNAcentral